RNAcentral lists this ribosomal RNA (430 nucleotides) under uncultured beta proteobacterium. Its description in RNAcentral is "bacterial SSU rRNA". It matches the Rfam family "Bacterial small subunit ribosomal RNA", at positions 1 to 436 of the family's 1533-position model. Lineage: Bacteria; Pseudomonadati; Pseudomonadota; Betaproteobacteria. The record is from RNAcentral.
UGCGAUUAGAGUUUGAUCCUGGCUCACGACGAACGCUGGCGGCGUGCUUAACACUUGCAACUCGAACGUGAAAGGGGGCAACCCCGAGUAGAGUGGCGAACGGGUGAGUAAUGCAUCGGAACGUGCCCAGUAGUGGGGGACAACCUCGAGAAAUCGAGGCUAAUACCGCAUACGACCUACGGGUGAAAGCGGGGGACCGCGAGGCCUCGCGCUAUUGGAGCGGCCGAUGUCCGAUUAGCUUGUUGGUAGGGUAACGGCCUACCAAGGCGACGAUCGGUAGCUGGUCUGAGAGGACGACCAGCCACACUGGGACUGAGACACGGCCCAGACUCCUACGGGAGGCAGCAGUGGGGAAUUUUGGACAAUGGGGGCAACCCUGAUCCAGCCAUGCCGCGUGCGGGAAGAAGGCCUUCGGGUUGUAAACCGCUUU